This 484-nucleotide ribosomal RNA is filed under the name uncultured bacterium. RNAcentral's name for it is "partial 16S ribosomal RNA". It matches the Rfam family "Bacterial small subunit ribosomal RNA", at positions 30 to 507 of the family's 1533-position model. The record is from RNAcentral.
AUUGAACGCUAGCGGGAUGCUUUACACAUGCAAGUCGAACGGCAGCGCGGACUUCGGUCUGGCGGCGAGUGGCGAACGGGUGAGUAAUGUAUCGGAACGUGCCCAGUAGCGGGGGAUAACUACGCGAAAGCGUAGCUAAUACCGCAUACGCCCUACGGGGGAAAGCAGGGGAUCGUAAGACCUUGCACUAUUGGAGCGGCCGAUAUCGGAUUAGCUAGUUGGUGAGGUAACGGCUCACCAAGGCGACGAUCCGUAGCUGGUUUGAGAGGACGACCAGCCACACUGGGACUGAGACACGGCCCAGACUCCUACGGGAGGCAGCAGUGGGGAAUUUUGGACAAUGGGGGCAGCCCUGAUCCAGCCAUCCCGCGUGUGCGAUGAAGGCCUUCGGGUUGUAAAGCACUUUUGGCAGGAAAGAAACGUCGCGGGCUAAUACCCCGUGGAACUGACGGUACCUGCAGAAUAAGCACCGGCUAACUACGUG